This 496-nucleotide ribosomal RNA is filed under the name uncultured bacterium. RNAcentral's name for it is "partial 16S ribosomal RNA". It matches the Rfam family "Bacterial small subunit ribosomal RNA", at positions 30 to 523 of the family's 1533-position model. The record is from RNAcentral.
AUUGAACGCUGGCGGAAUGCUUUACACAUGCAAGUCGAACGGUAGAGGGGGCAACCCCUCGAGAGUGGCGAACGGGUGAGUAAUAUAUCGGAACGUGCCCAGUCGUGGGGGAUAACGUAGCGAAAGUUACGCUAAUACCGCAUACGAUCUAAGGAUGCAAGCGGGGGAUCGCAAGACCUCGCGCGAUUGGAGCGGCCGAUAUCAGAUUAGGUAGUUGGUGGGGCAAAGGCUCACCAAGCCAACGAUCUGUAGCUGGUCUGAGAGGACGACCAGCCACACUGGAACUGAGACACGGUCCAGACUCCUACGGGAGGCAGCAGUGGGGAAUUUUGGACAAUGGACGCAAGUCUGAUCCAGCCACUCCGCGUGCAGGAUGAAGGCCCUCGGGUUGUAAACUGCUUUUGUACGGAACGAAAAGGUCUCUCUUAAUACGGGGGACUCAUGGCGGUACCGUAAGAAUAAGCACCGGCUAACUACGUGCCAGCCGCCGCAGUAA